RNAcentral lists this ribosomal RNA (443 nucleotides) under uncultured beta proteobacterium. RNAcentral's name for it is "bacterial SSU rRNA". It matches the Rfam family "Bacterial small subunit ribosomal RNA", at positions 194 to 619 of the family's 1533-position model. Lineage: Bacteria; Pseudomonadati; Pseudomonadota; Betaproteobacteria. The record is from RNAcentral.
UUUGGAGGAAAUGUAGGGGAUCGAAAGACCUUAUGCUUUUGGAGCGGCCGAUGUCUGAUUAGCUAGUUGGUGGGGUAAUUGCCUACCAAGGCGACGAUCAGUAGUUGGUCUGAGAGGACGACCAGCCACACUGGGACUGAGACACGGCCCAGACUCCUACGGGAGGCAGCAGUGGGGAAUUUUGGACAAUGGGGGCAAGCCUGAUCCAGCAAUGCCGCGUGAGUGAAGAAGGCCUUCGGGUUGUAAAGCUCUUUCAGUUGAGAAGAAAAGAUUGUAACUAAUAAUUACAGUUCAUGACGGUAUCAACAGAAGAAGCACCGGCUAACUACGUGCCAGCAGCCGCGGUAAUACGUAGGGUGCAAGCGUUAAUCGGAAUUACUGGGCGUAAAGGGUGCGCAGGCGGUUCUGUAAGUCAGAUGGAAAUCCCCCCGCUAAGCCCGGGC